GAUGAACGCUGGCGGCGUGCCUAAUACAUGCAAGUCGAGCGAACAGACGAGGAGCUUGCUCCUCUGACGUUAGCGGCGGACGGGUGAGUAACACGUGGAUAACCUACCUAUAAGACUGGGAUAACUUCGGGAAACCGGAGCUAAUACCGGAUAAUAUAUUCAACCGCAUGGUUCAAUAGUGAAAGACGGUUUUGCUGUCACUUAUAGAUGGAUCCGCGCCGCAUUAGCUAGUUGGUAAGGUAACGGCUUACCAAGGCAACGAUGCGUAGCCGACCUGAGAGGAUGAUCGGCCACACUGGAACUGAGACACGGUCCAGACUCCUACGGGAGGCAGCAGUAGGGAAUCUUGCGCAAUGGGCGAAAGCCUGACGGAGCAACACCGCGUGAGUGAUGAAGGUCUUCGGAUCGUAAAGCUCUGUUGUUGGGGAAGAACAGAAGUGUAAGUAACUAUGCACGUCUUGACGGUACCUAAACAGAAAGCCACGGCUAACUACGUG
This 497-nucleotide ribosomal RNA is filed under the name uncultured bacterium. RNAcentral's name for it is "partial 16S ribosomal RNA". It matches the Rfam family "Bacterial small subunit ribosomal RNA", at positions 28 to 507 of the family's 1533-position model. The record is from RNAcentral.